CAAGAGCGUAUGUACAAGUUGUUGCAGUUAAAAAGCUCGUAGUUGAACCUUGGGUUUGGUUGGCCGGUCCGCUUUUUUGCGAGUACUGGAUUCAACCGAGCCUUUCCUUCUGGCUAACCAGUCGUUUCGGCGGCUGGCGAACCAGGAUUUUUACUUUGAGAAAAUUAGAGUGUUCAAAGCAGGCAUUAGCUUGAAUAUAUUAGCAUGGAAUAAUAGAAUAGGACGUUAUGGUUCUAUUUUGUUGGUUUCUAGGACCAUCGUAAUGAUUAAUAGGGACGGUCGGGGGCAUCAGUAUUCAGUUGUCAGAGGUGAAAUUCUUGGAUUUACUGAAGACUAACUACUGCGAAAGCAUUUGCCAAGGACGUUUUCAUUAA
RNAcentral lists this ribosomal RNA (374 nucleotides) under uncultured eukaryote. RNAcentral describes it as "partial 18S ribosomal RNA". It matches the Rfam family "Eukaryotic small subunit ribosomal RNA", at positions 592 to 976 of the family's 1831-position model. The record is from RNAcentral.